GGCUGUGUGGCAUAGUGGUUUGAAUAUUGGACUACAACUCUGGAAACCAGAGUUCAAUUGCCUGCUUGGCCA
This is a non-coding RNA of Phrynosoma platyrhinos (Desert horned lizard), 72 nucleotides long. The record is from the annotation of a GenBank genome assembly. Lineage: Eukaryota; Metazoa; Chordata; Lepidosauria; Squamata; Phrynosomatidae.